RNAcentral lists this ribosomal RNA (649 nucleotides) under uncultured bacterium. RNAcentral describes it as "bacterial SSU rRNA". It matches the Rfam family "Bacterial small subunit ribosomal RNA", at positions 43 to 738 of the family's 1533-position model. The record is from RNAcentral.
CAGGCCUAACACAUGCAAGUCGAACGCAGUAGCAAUACUGAGUGGCAAACGGGUGAGUAUAAUGUGGGAAUCUGCCUUUUGGUUCGGAAUAACACGGGGAAACUUGUGCUAAUACCGGAUAAGCCCUUACGGGGAAAGUUUUAAUGCCGAAAGAUGAGCCCGCACUUGAUUAGCUAGUUGGUAAGGUAAAAGCUUACCAAGGCAACGAUCAAUAGCUGUUCUUAGAGGAAGACCAGCCACAUUGGGACUGAGACACGGCCCAGACUCCUACGGGAGGCAGCAGUGGGGAAUCUUGCACAAUGGGGGAAACCCUGAUGCAGCGAUGCCGCGUGAGUGAAGAAGGCCCUUGGGUUGUAAAACUCUUUCGUCGGGGAAGAAAAUGACUGUACCCGAAUAAGAAGGUCCGGCUAACUUCGUGCCAGCAGCCGCGGUAAUACGAAGGGACCUAGCGUAGUUCGGAAUUACUGGGCUUAAAGAGCUCGUAGGUGGUUAAAAAAGUUGAUGGUGAAAUCCCAAGGCUCAACCUUGGAACUGCCAUCAAAACUUUUUAGCUAGAGUGUGAUAGAGGUAAGUGGAAUUUCUAGUGUAGAGGUGAAAUUCGUAGAUAUUAGAAAGAACACCAAAAGCGAAGGCAACUUACUGGGUCACU